UUGUUUUUAAAUACUAUCUAUUUGUCUUCUUUUGCUAAUUGACUUUACUUUAUUAAUUCACGAUUCUAGUUUAAAAUAAAAACAUUAUUUUAGUUAUAUUAUUGAUAUAAGGUUGACUAGGUUAUGCGUGUAGAACACGUAGAUGUCGUAGAUCGAUUGAUUCGCAUCCGCGGAGGAGCUCACACGUAUGCGCUGUAACGAGAAAGUCGGAGCGAAACGGCGCACUCAUCAACAAGACGGCGGCAGCAGCGGCGGCCGCUGGCCGAUUGUUGCGGCUCGUCCGUCACCCCAGUGUGCUCGGUGACGAGCACGUGGUGCGUGCUCACAUCCCGCAUGCGAGCACCGUAGUACCCGGCUAGCACGCGGCAACAGGAGCUGACAUGAAGGCUUCACCUCUCCCUACGUUGAACAGAGUUUCGCGCGGGUUGUCUCGCCGAGCCCCUCCUAGUGCCAGGAGAUCACGCGGCGCGAGUAGGCGUCCCCGCCCGCCCGUUGGCCGGCCGGUUAUUGCGAUAUUCCGUCAUACCUUGACUUUCGCCCGUGAGGAAUUUUUUCAACAGGAACGCAUGCGGCCGCCUGUAAUUCCGAGACGCCACCGAUAGAAGCGCUAGCGUCAACGAGAGCCGGUUUACAUGUGUCACGUGCACGCGCAAUUCUAUAUAGGGUGUAUCCUAAAGUUGUGCAAGGAUAGAUUUGCCAUCGGAAAGGAUUAGAAGAGCGAUCGGGAAGCCGAUGCGAAUAAAUUUACAUUAGCGCGAAUUCUCGCGGGAAAUAGAUGUAACGUAAUUGUACAAUAUACAUUUGUAUUUAAUAUUUAUUAAUUUUAUUAUAACAUUAUUAUUAUGUAAUGAAUUAUUAAAUAACAUGAUACGCUUUUAUAUAUUCAAUUAUUAUUUCAGUUUAGGUAAUUUCUAAAGUUUUAUAAUCAAAGUUACAUAAAAUAUUACAAAUUCUGUGAGAAAUAAAAUAAAUAUAAUAAAAUUUGAGGGUUUACCGAGUACAAAACUUUGAAGAGCGUAACAUAUUAAAUCAAUCAAAACCUUAACUUAUUUUAUUCGUGUAAACAACAACGCAAUUCUAUCUUCUGUCACUGUCGAACUCGCCGGUGAAUCAAUACGACGCUUCUCACUCGAACGUCGCAAGCCACCCUGUAUAUGUACAUACACUAUCGCCCCUGCGCGUAUAGCGGUCCCCACUCCAAUGUAAGGCUUUAAUUUUAGGGGAAAACGUAAUAAUCCUCGAUCCAUUUCGGAAGCGUUCGCUCGCGGUCCGCCAGUGAUGAUGCGCGCGCGCAUGAUGCGUUACUCGAACCGACGUAAUCGAUAAUCGAAGUCGAGCGUGGAUGAUUCCGCGGCCGAGUCGCAGCAUUCGCGAGUAUGCCGUCGUCGUGUACGGCGGCGUAUACGGGGUCGCGCAUUAUUAAUGCCGAUUUUGGGGAAAAACGGUGUCACUGUCCCGCGACGACGGGUCGCCGCGCGCACAGGGCGUGCACGGGACGGCCGUUAGCGCGCGGCCGCGCGUCGCUACGCGCGAAUCUGUAGCGAGCGGGCGCGGCUCGGCGAGACGCGCGUUGUUCCGGUGGCCGCGGACCCGUAGCCCUGCCGAAAUUCCGUCCAUGCCGAAGUCAAUGAACCAAUAAGCAGUGGAAAGAGAUCGCCGCGGACCAAUGGGAUUACCGCGCGGCUCGCGCGUAAAUUAGCGCGAGGAGAAGCAGGGGAGCAAACAGCCAAACCGACAAGCCGAGCAGGUCGUUCUGUUGCGCGGAAACUGUAGUAUCGUGCUGGAUUUGCUGGCGUUGCAAGAGGAGUGGCUCUGGGCGCGUGUCUAGAUAUCAUCUUGAUGUCAACACACUUGAGACACACGCAUGCGCCUAUCGAAAAAAGACUAUCUAUUUCUCUCGUUAUUUAUUUUCUUAUAAAAAACAGUGCUUUAGCAUAUCGAAAAUGGAAAAUUAUGUUUGUUAAAUUUUAUAUUUAAUUUCAAAUUCUGAUGAUAUAAAAAUGUAUGAAAUAUAGUUCUUCAGAAAUGCUUUACUAUACAAGAAUAUAUUGAAAAACAUUAAUUUAGGAAUAAACUUGAAUAACAAAUAAAGAAGUCUAGAAAAUACUACAUCAAUUUGAUUAAAUUUAAAUUAUCCAAAUCAUUAGCAAAGUAAGUAAUUACAAUAUAAUCAUAACAAAUGAUGAAGAUUUAUAUUUAAGCGUCAGGAAGAAAAAGAAGAGAAAAGGGAGAAUUAUACGAUCCUGUUAUCGUAACGGACGACAGAACGCAUGCUUGAAAAGAUAUAAUAUCGCUUGACGAACAGACAAUAUAUUCAUGUAAAAUGUUCGAUUGAUAAUUUGUCGUUAUAAUCGCUCGCGGCUUCGGCGAAAAUGGAUACUGCAGGUAAUACAAGGCACGCGCACGGGCGAGCUUCUCGCAUCACGUGUUAGCCUGGUGCGAGGAGGGGCUAAAUGAGACAACCCGCGCGAACGACGCUCAACUGUACGAGAGAGGAGAAGGAGCUCCAUUCAUGCUAUCCUGAUAGUGCACGGCCUGUGUGCGGAAUGUGAGCAUGCACCGCACUUCAUUGCGGUCAAGGAACACGAGCCUGACGACCAUCAACAUACACGAUCUGUUCUUUAUAGCUGCAUUGCAAUAAGUUAGAGCGAGAAAAAAGAUGUUUGUCUCACUUUAACGUGUUGCACCAGUUCAGCAGCGCAGCUGUAAAGGGCUGCUGUAACAGGCCAAUAGUAUGGACUGCGCGAUUCGUACAUGAAAAUCCUCGAAAAGUGUCGCUCGUGUCGCUAGAAUUAGACAAAGAGAACGAAGUGACGGCCAAUUGCUCUCUUUUUCCACUUUUCUACGCUACUGAUUAGAAAGAGACGGAGCUUGGCCGUCAGCAGUCGCUAUCUCUUUCUUUCGGCCGGUAUUUUUCAUAUUUUUCUAUACCCGAGCGCAGUCCAUGUCACGUGAUUCUUUAUAGGCAUAACACGCGAGAAGAGCACAAUUAAUCUCUCGACUAAAAAAAACUAAGAAUGCGUCCACACGUGCGCCAAAUAACCGCAAGCGUAGAGAAACAGAUAAACGUCCAGACACUUCGACCUAAUUUUCCCACCCACGGUGAAGUAAUAAAUUUACCUCUACAUCUGCGUUGCGAAACUUGAGGAAGAAUGGUCGUAAAUCUAUCUACUUGUUGGAUAAAAAAUCAUAUGGCUAUAUUUGAGAGUCGUAUUACGUUCAUAGAUUGCGGUAUUAUGGCGACAGCACAGUUGAUAUAUUCGUGUGAAUAAAUAGAUGGACUGUAUCAAAUUGAUGCAUCUGAUCUGAA
Molecule: long non-coding RNA, 3310 nt
Organism: Ooceraea biroi (clonal raider ant)
Lineage: Eukaryota; Metazoa; Arthropoda; Insecta; Hymenoptera; Formicidae
Source: RefSeq, a predicted model, not a curated record